GCCUCGGUAGCUCAGCUGGUCAGAGCAGGUGACUCUUAAUCACUGGGUCGGGGGUUCGAAUCCCUCCCGGGGCACUA
RNAcentral lists this transfer RNA (77 nucleotides) under Methylacidiphilum kamchatkense Kam1. RNAcentral's name for it is "tRNA-Lys". It matches the Rfam family "tRNA". From Rfam's summary of the family: Transfer RNA (tRNA) molecules are approximately 80 nucleotides in length. Their secondary structure includes four short double-helical elements and three loops (D, anti-codon, and T loops). Lineage: Bacteria; Pseudomonadati; Verrucomicrobiota; Methylacidiphilae; Methylacidiphilales; Methylacidiphilaceae. The record is from RNAcentral.